AAUGCGCGCAAGCGUGACCGAGCGACGCCGAGUGCUGGAUGAAGGCCUUCGGGUUGUAAACAGCUGUCAGAGGGGAUGAAUUCAGGCGGGUCAUCCCGCCUGUUUGACAGAGCCUCAGAGGAAGCACGGGCUAAGCUCGUGCCAGCAGCCGCGGUAACACGAACUGUGCGAACGUUAUUCGGAAUCACUGGGCUUAAAGGGUGCGUAGGCGGACUGUUAAGUAGGGUGUGAAAUUUGUCGGCUCAACCGGCAAACUGCAUUCUAAACUGGCAGUCUUGAGGGAGUCAGGGGUGUGUGGAACUUCCAGUGGAGCGGUGAAAUGUGUUGAUAUUGGAAGGAACGCCGGUGGCGAAAGCGACACACUGGGGCUUUUCUGACGCUGAGGCACGAAAGCCAGGGUAGCGAACAGGAUU
RNAcentral lists this ribosomal RNA (413 nucleotides) under uncultured Gammaproteobacteria bacterium. RNAcentral's name for it is "bacterial SSU rRNA". It matches the Rfam family "Bacterial small subunit ribosomal RNA", at positions 370 to 779 of the family's 1533-position model. Lineage: Bacteria; Pseudomonadati; Pseudomonadota; Gammaproteobacteria. The record is from RNAcentral.